GGCCGGGGACGACCCCGGGCGUUUUCCAGACAGUUCGGAUGGGGACGACCUCA
RNAcentral lists this non-coding RNA (53 nucleotides) under Hyphomicrobiales bacterium. Its description in RNAcentral is "Rhizobiales bacterium Guanidine-II sequence". It matches the Rfam family "Guanidine-II riboswitch aptamer (mini-ykkC)". Rfam says of the family: Simpler in structure and has fewer highly conserved nucleotide positions than the ykkC-yxkD leader. Despite this each of its two stem-loop structures directly bind free guanidine. Lineage: Bacteria; Pseudomonadati; Pseudomonadota; Alphaproteobacteria; Hyphomicrobiales. The record is from RNAcentral.